AUGUAUACAGCAAGUGCUCAUAACUCCACUGAGCUAGGACUGAACACAGCCGCCCACAGUGUUUUGGCUCCAUGUUUUAACUGCCUCACCAUAAGCUGGUACAAGCUGUCCCAAGAAUCAAACUCCGGUCUUCACUACCUUUAUCUAUUCAACCAUCUUGCCAGUCCCCGUUCAGUUCUUUUUAAGAUACGCUGUGCUCAAAGAGAUCCUGAUGAGUUAAUCAGAGCCCUUUGGAGAGACGGCAGGUCUGCCGAUGCUCUGUGUCCAAUCCCAGUCAUCCUGGAACAGAGAAAGAGACUGAGUGUGAAUGCCCCAGGGAGCAGUCGGGGCAGGAUGGCACGAGGAGAGAGAAGAAUCCACCAACUGAAACUCAGAUUGCCUGGGCUGUAAUUUGUGGCGCUGUCACAAAGGGGUCCUUUUCCGCAUGGUGCGCAGCGGUGAUGAGCAAGCGCUGGGCCGAGGGUGUGCGCUUCUCUCACACGCUCUCUAGCGAGCUGCAGGACUCGUAAAUAGCUAAGUAUAGCUUGAAGCUGAUUACAGGCCCGAUCCUCCUAUUGUGCCUCAUCACUUGUCAUUGUUGAGGCGGCAAUUGCCGCUCGACGUUUCUCUUUGUGGCUGGCUGCAGCCGGUUUCCAGGACAGGAGGAGCCCGGAGCUGCCGAGACUGGUUCUUCCCGCCGGAUGGGCGUGGCAGGUGUUGGCGAUGAGAUUAAGAGCAAGCUCCCAGGAUAGACACCUGUUGCCCCAGAAUUGCUGUUUAUGCACGAUCUCUGUCCAUGGGGGGGUGACAGGAGUCUCUGAGGCCAGGCUGGCUCUGGGAACAGGAGCAGGCAGUUCGAUUUCUCUGGCUUGGUUUACUCAAUUGUAGAAAGGAGUUGUAAUAUUUAAUCUCUUACUCACAAAGUACAUUUGAGGACCUGUGAAAUAAGUAUACAAAUAUCCUAAAAGCAGGUAUAGUCCCCUACAGACUCAAACAUCCACCUUCGAAUAGGUAUAUACCCACAAUACACAGACUAGCCAUAGAACCCACCUGUGUACCUUAUUGUAAUGAAUUUGUUCAUGCAUGCAUGUGGGCGUGGUAUUAGGACACAGCUGUAUAGCUGACUGUAACAGUGACCACUGCCAUCUUUAGGCUUUUCCUGUAAAUCGGGCACCAUUUUGAGCUCUUCUCCAGCACCAAAGCAAAGCUCCCAACAAUAGCAGUAAUAGUCCUGGAAUGGGGCACUUCUUCAUCUUUGGGGACCUUCCUCGUCCUGUGUGCUGUAUGAUUGCCGCCAGGGAUCUGUCUGUACCUUCAAUAUCUCUACUGCAGUCACAUGACAGCCUCAACUCCCUCCCUUUCCCUGAUGGCAGGGAGGGUGGGAAUGGUAAGAAGAUGGUAGCUGUCUGGG
This 1390-nucleotide long non-coding RNA is filed under the name Mus spicilegus (steppe mouse). Its description in RNAcentral is "lncRNA (ENSMSIG00000008935.1)". The record is from RNAcentral. Lineage: Eukaryota; Metazoa; Chordata; Mammalia; Rodentia; Muridae.